RNAcentral lists this transfer RNA (85 nucleotides) under Pelagicoccus sp. SDUM812005. Its description in RNAcentral is "tRNA-Leu". It matches the Rfam family "tRNA". Rfam says of the family: Transfer RNA (tRNA) molecules are approximately 80 nucleotides in length. The record is from RNAcentral. Lineage: Bacteria; Pseudomonadati; Verrucomicrobiota; Opitutia; Puniceicoccales; Pelagicoccaceae.
GCCCAGAUGGCGGAAUUGGUAGACGCGCUAGAUUUAGGCUCUAGUGUCGAGAGACGUGCAGGUUCGACCCCUGUUCUGGGUACCA